CCGCCACUGGCUCAGUCAGUAGAGCAUAAGACUCCUGAUCUCAGGGUUGUGAGUUCGAGCCCCACGUGGGGUG
Molecule: transfer RNA, 73 nt
Filed under: Ailuropoda melanoleuca (giant panda)
Lineage: Eukaryota; Metazoa; Chordata; Mammalia; Carnivora; Ursidae
Rfam family: tRNA
About the family: Transfer RNA (tRNA) molecules are approximately 80 nucleotides in length.
Source: Rfam by way of RNAcentral